UCCCUGGUGGCUCAGACGGUAAAGUGUCUGCCUACAAUGCAGGAGACCCGGGUUCGAUCCCUGGGUUGGGAA
This 72-nucleotide transfer RNA is filed under the name Bos taurus (domestic cattle). It matches the Rfam family "tRNA". From Rfam's summary of the family: Transfer RNA (tRNA) molecules are approximately 80 nucleotides in length. RNAcentral also lists the same sequence under 3 other names. The record is from Rfam by way of RNAcentral. Lineage: Eukaryota; Metazoa; Chordata; Mammalia; Artiodactyla; Bovidae.